Molecule: ribosomal RNA, 246 nt
Filed under: Triticum aestivum (bread wheat)
Lineage: Eukaryota; Viridiplantae; Streptophyta; Magnoliopsida; Poales; Poaceae
Description: partial small subunit ribosomal RNA
Source: RNAcentral
AUGACCGCCUGCAUUUCCCGAACCUUGGGGACAUCCCGGCUGGGGAGAAGGAGAUUGACAUCUCGAAGAACCUUGGGGACAUCAUCCACCUGGAGAUCACGCUGGAUGCCUUCUGCAGCAGCACCUGCAAAGGCAUGUGCCUCGUCUGCGGCGCGAGCCUCAACACGAGCAGCUGCAGCUGCGGCGCCGAGGAGUCGUCGCAAGCCAAGGACGCCAGGCGGCCAGGAACUCUCAAAGACCUGCUGA